UAGCUACAGGCUUAACACAUGCAAGUCGAGGGUAGCAGGGUAGCAAUACCGCUGACGACCGGCGCACGGGUGAGUAACACGUAUCCAACCUUCCCAUAACUCAGGGGGUAGCCUUUCGAAAGAAAGAUUAAUACCUGAUAGUACUUUUUCAAGGCAUCUUGAAAAAAGUUAAAGAUUUAUUGGUUAUGGAUGGGAUGCGUUCCAUUAGAUAGUUGGUGAGGUAACGGCUCACCAAGUCUUCGAUGGAUAGGGGUUCUGAGAGGAAGGUCCCCCACAUUGGUACUGAGACACGGACCAAACUCCUACGGGAGGCAGCAGUGAGGAAUAUUGGUCAAUGGGCGAGAGCCUGAACCAGCCAAGUAGCGUGAAAAGGAUGAAGGUCCUAUGGAUUGUAAACUUCUUUUAUAGUAGAAUAAAGUGAGCCACGUGUGGUUUUUUGUAUGUAUACUAUGAAUAAGGAUCGGCUAACUCCGUGCCAGCCGCGGC
RNAcentral lists this ribosomal RNA (486 nucleotides) under uncultured bacterium. Its description in RNAcentral is "bacterial SSU rRNA". It matches the Rfam family "Bacterial small subunit ribosomal RNA", at positions 37 to 518 of the family's 1533-position model. The record is from RNAcentral.